Ailuropoda melanoleuca (giant panda) is the source of this 100-nucleotide small nuclear RNA. The record is from Ensembl. NCBI's taxonomy places the organism in Eukaryota, Metazoa, Chordata, Mammalia, Carnivora, Ursidae.
GUGCUCACCUUGACAGCACGUAUACUAAAAAAUUGGAAUGGUAUGGAAGAGAUUAGCAUGGCCCCUGUGAAAACAAAUUCAUGAAGCAUUCCAUAUUUUU